Molecule: non-coding RNA, 831 nt
Organism: Schizosaccharomyces pombe (fission yeast)
Lineage: Eukaryota; Fungi; Ascomycota; Schizosaccharomycetes; Schizosaccharomycetales; Schizosaccharomycetaceae
Source: the annotation of a GenBank genome assembly
UAUAGCAUAGCUACUAUAGAAUUAAACCGUUUUUAUUUUUUUAAGUGAAGAAAAUACCAUGAUAUCGCAGAAGAAAGACGCUCAUGAAUGGAUAGUAAAAGCUGCUGGUCCUUUACAGUUGACUGUUGAUCCUGUAAGACAGCGAUACAAUCAUAAACAUUAACAAGAGAAAGCUUAAAAUCUGUCGAGUUAGACUGUAAAGGAUUAUUCAAAAAUUCGUGAAGUAGUUCUAAUAACUUAGGGAAUCGACUUGAAGGGAAAUCAACCAUUGUUAGUAACCCAACAAGAAGUUCAGAGGCAUUGAGCUCUUUUUUGUGCUGAAGGUAAAAAAAAUAUUGAUGAAUUGUAGCAGCUGGAGAUAUUAUCGAGGCAAGGGUCGGGGUACAGGCUUUAGGAGAGCUAAACAAUUCAUACAACAGUUCAUCUUUAUCGGGACUAAAUGACUUCUUUUCUGCAAUACAUAUAUCAAACAAUUCCCAAGUAACGCGAUUUAAAGCAGAAUAGUUCGCAGCAUUAUCUAAAGCAAUUAGUGCUUCACCAUAGUGAUUACGUGCAAUUAAUUCAUCAGCCCAAUGAGUCAAUACUAAUUGAGCUUCGUCCCUUAGUUUAAGCUGCUUGCAUAAUUGAAGUGCAGUUUCCUUGGCAUCCACAUCGGAAAGAGGGACAUAUGGAAUACAAGCUUUUAUUCGUUGAUAGCCGGAAUCAGCAACACAUUUCCAGUAAGCAAAGGACGUUUGCCAAAGAUUUCUACUUUCUAAAACACACUGCCCAUAUUCCAGUAUAAGAUGUUCACGUAAGGUAAUGGGAUAUUCCUCGGUUAUGUAAUCCCGC